GCGAAUGAUUCACUUUACACCCUUUGUGAAUAAACACCUGGAAAAACGUUGGCAGUUUUGUUGAUUUUUAUUUAUUUGCGUAAAAUCGUGUGAAAAAUAUAUACAAAAUUACAAAGUAAAUAUAUUUUAGCUUAAAAUAAUACAGUAAAUUGUUUUCUGAGUGGUGAUAAUUAAUGUGCAAGUUGUUAAAAUAAAUAAAAUCCUGGCCACUGAUUUUAAAAAUUAAACUUGAACUCUUAUCAAGGCAGCUUAUCAACUUCUUCAACUGUCGAUCCAAGAAGAGACACAAGAUUGAUGUGGAUUAUUUUUAUCUUCAAAAAUCUCGUCCUUAUUUAUUCGCCCUCACUAAACACAUACGUACAUAAGCUGUGAACUGUAUAAAAAACGAGAAGAGUGGAUGGAUAAGACCAUCUGAAUUUUACACCCGCCUACUACAAUAAAUUGGAAAUUCGUCAGAUAAGAAGUGGGACCGGAUACAAAGUCUUGGAUGCAAUAAUAGCCUCCGGAGGAGCAUAGUGCAACUCGUGAUAAAUUUUUAAUCGCUAUAUACUGUGAAGCAGUACUGUAUUCGUUGUAUCGAGAAAUAUUCGGAUCAGAUCGAGCAGCAGAGCAGAGUGACGAAAUCGGGUGUUCAAAAGCGGGGGUCGGUUGUCCCAUGCUGAAUGGUGUCGGUAUCAAAACUGUUCUGAAAUCAUGGAUGCGCCCGGAAUAGAACCACAUUCUCCGAAGAAUCUAUUCCUGCUGAGGAAUGAGGAGGAGGACCGAAAUAAUUUACAUGUUGAUGAACAUCCACUACCACCAAGUACAACCAGCGGGUCUAGGGAUGGAUUCGAGGCGGAAGUCCAGAUCCAAAUCGGGCCUAAUGGAGGAACCAUAUCCGCGAGUAGGAGGAGGCGAGAAACGGUCGAAUUGCAACAAAUGAAUGCAGAUUUAAUAUCAGCCCAAGACGAGCGGAAAGACAAGUUGCACGCCACCUUGAUAGCGGAGAAAGUAGAACUUGAAGAAUUACAGAAAGACAUUCUAAAUCUUCGCAGUAAACUCAACCCGUUAUUUAACGACCUGGAAAAGCUCAAAGAUGAAAAUCAACGAUUGAGGAUAGAGUGUCAACUGAUGACGAGGGAAGUGGAUCUCUACGACAAUGGGACGGUUCCACUUGGAGAAACCAACUUGGAAUUUUACCGGGACAUUUACUCCGGACAAGAUAUCAACGCACUGUUUGGAAGCACCCAAAGUCGUCGACGUCGCCAAGGAGUGGAACCCGGUGGCCAAUAUGUUUCUCGAAAACCACCUCCACCACGACCGCCUCCACCGAAUCCGAAACAUUUGCCCUCUCCGCCCAGAGAAGAAGGUCCAAACUCGGAAUGGGUUUGUACCAUGUGCACAUUUCUAAACCAUCCUGACCUAGUAAAAUGUGAGCAGUGUGAUAUGCAGCGCGUUUCAAGUCGAGAGCAGAACAUUCGCAUCAGCAUUCGACGCCAUCAACAGCCACCACCGCACAGAAAAGUCAUUCACUCAUGGGUUGUCUGAUGAAAUAUAUGACAUUGGGAAAUGCCAAUGUUAAAUUUACAUUGUGGUCGUCGUUACUGAUAAAUCAGCGUGUAAUAUCACCCAGAGCCAAAGACUGAUGAAGAAGAAUACAUUUAGUUGGAAGAAGUUAAAGUUUUAAAUAGAUUUAAAAAUCUGCGGUGUUUGGUAACAAGAAGAAAAAGAAAUCGAUUUUAUUCUCAAACUCGUAAUAAGAAGCAAUAUAUCUCUCGUUUUUAGUGGUUGUUUGUGUGGUACUAGAAAAACAGAUUAAGUCUAAAUGUCUGGGAAUCGGUCACAAAUGAAGUCACGUAAAAAAUCAGUCUGCAGAGGAAUUAUGUCACACGUUGGAUCUUUUUAUGGUUGAAUGAUUGCCAAAUGCCACUGUUGGACCUUCUCCUCCUUGGAUAGCGUCCCCGCAGCAAUGAAAACAUCAGAUUUCCUCUUGAGACGCCUCAAUUAUUUGAAGUAUUCGACUGUUUAGUUACCUCACGAAUUAUUAAGUUUAGUUUUAAUUAACUGUGAUGUCCGCUUUUAUUUUACAUGUUUGUGUGUUUGUCUUGUUAUAUACAUAUUUAUUUAAAGGUUAGUUAAACUAAAUUUUAUCAAGCUUCUGCUAUAAAGAGAAGAAAAAUAGGACACACAAUGACAUUCCCAAUACAAUACCUGAGAGUAAUUAUAUAUCAUUUUGAAUGCAAUGCAAUGCUAUGUUAUCGAUGAUGAUAAUCGUUUUACUUAAUCAUAUUCAAUCUUGUAUAACUAAAUAUCAUGAUAUGCAUGUCAAGUAUGAAGGAGAAGAAGUGAAUUUUACUUUAGUAGAUGUAUUUAAUAUUCAAAUUAAAUUUUAUGCCAUAGUUUUAACAUGUUACGAGACGAUGAAUGCAAAAUGAGAGAUUAUUGCCAAAUAUUUUAUUUAUGUAUGAAAUGAAAAUGAGGUGCUGGUAACUUUUAGUUGGAUAAGAACUUAUUGGUACUACCAACACUGAACAAUGUGGUGAAUAUUUUACUGAAAUUGAAAUCUUUACUUUCUAGAGAAUGAUGUAUACGCGAAAAAGUACUAUUUGUAUUUCAUAUUUAUGACAUGAAUUAAAGAAUAAUAUACGAGUCGAAAAUAAAUAUAUUUUUAAACCUACA
Molecule: RNA transcript, 2658 nt
Organism: Folsomia candida
Lineage: Eukaryota; Metazoa; Arthropoda; Collembola; Entomobryomorpha; Isotomidae
Gene name: TGF-beta-activated kinase 1 and MAP3K7-binding protein 2
Exons: 11
Source: RefSeq, a predicted model, not a curated record